AUGGCGGAUAAGGUGGAGGCUGUUGGUGAAGGUGGUGGAGAAAACCUGUGGUCGCAUUUAUGUUCUUGAAAACAUUGCACUCAGGCCCUCCACAACGUUACGAUGCCAGAUUACUGACACAGGCAUGCCACCUCAUGGCGAUGCCCCAAUAUUUUGCUAUGCCACCGGUCUCACAGCGUUACGAUGCCUGUAAAUAAAUCAUAGGACCCACGAUGUCCAGAAAGAGCUGAGUCCUUCGCUCGAGUUCUUUCCGGCUGCCUCGUGUGAUAGAAAAUCCCCUUUUCCAAAUGAGGCCAGAUCUAUGAAAUCCCUCUUCUUUCUCCCAUGAAUCCUUCCGAUUUCUUCUCGAUUUAGCAUCGAUUGGUGCCCACGAGAUCCACAACGAAGUCCAGUCCGGCGAGGUGCGGCAGUACGGGAAGACGGAGGAUAGGCUGAGCAUGGGCAGCGGCACCAGGGAGCGCGGUGCUGGACGCGGACGCGCUGCUCGGCGGGUGCGGCAGCCUUGCCGCCGUGGUUGACAGCAGCGUCGACUACUGCUCCUAUUUCCCAGGCGGAAGUUUAUUUGGUCGGAAGUUUGGGCAUCGGAGCAACUACUUGUUCCGGUUCCUUUUUUUCUGAUUUGGCACUGACUGGGCAGUUGAGGGCACCGGUGCCAAAUGCCCAAAAGUUAAUUUGGCACCCGUAUUUGGCCUCCAUUGUGUAGGGCCUUAGUGACCUUGCUUCUUAGUUUGUAGUUUAUAAUGGAAUGCUGGAUAGGUGCUUGUUCCUUGAACUUAGUGUCUUUGCCACACUUUCUGUAAGAGCAGGCCAUUUAUAUUUAUAUUUGUGUUGUAUCAGGAAUUUAUAAGGCGCUCAGAUGUUGUAGGACAUUAUUUUUUGCCUUGCUCAUAUGAUUGCGGGCACUCUUCAUGCCACACCUUCCGUACGAAAUGUCAGAUUUCAUCAUCAAGUAAUGUACUAUGUUGUUUCAUAAAGACUAAAAAGAGAGUCCAAGUUCUUAUGACUGCAUGCACUCUUUAUACUACUUACUCUUUUUUUUAAGAGCUUAAGUGUUGUCAUAUUUCAACAGUUUGUUGUUCAGGAUGAUUCUAUUAGAAAUGCC
RNAcentral lists this long non-coding RNA (1102 nucleotides) under Brachypodium distachyon (stiff brome). RNAcentral's name for it is "long non-coding RNA (BDIS_LNC006053)". Lineage: Eukaryota; Viridiplantae; Streptophyta; Magnoliopsida; Poales; Poaceae. The record is from RNAcentral.